AUGUUAAACAGGAGACCUAAGAACAUGAUUAACGCAAUAGCUUAGUGGGAGUGCUUAAUGAUUUUCGGAUUUAAAAAAAGAAAAGAAAAUAAUGUAUUAAGAGAAGCGACGGUGCUUAAUUAAGCCGCACAAGAAACAUAUCUAAUGAGACAUGUGUCAUUAGACACAUCUUUCUCUCCCUCGACGAGUCGACUUCUCUCUUUUUCUCCCUCGACGACUCCGCUUCUUUCCUUCUUUCCCUCGGCGACUCCGUGUUUCUCGAUUGAAACCUCGACGACUCCGC
RNAcentral lists this long non-coding RNA (283 nucleotides) under Brassica napus (rape). RNAcentral describes it as "long non-coding RNA (BNAP_LNC016996)". The record is from RNAcentral. Lineage: Eukaryota; Viridiplantae; Streptophyta; Magnoliopsida; Brassicales; Brassicaceae.